This 1634-nucleotide long non-coding RNA is filed under the name Homo sapiens (human). Its description in RNAcentral is "HSALNT0179024". The record is from RNAcentral. Lineage: Eukaryota; Metazoa; Chordata; Mammalia; Primates; Hominidae.
GUUCAUUCCUCCCGGUGGGUUCGUGGUCUCGCUGGCCUCAGGAGAGAAGCUGCAGACCUUCGCGGUGAGUGUAGCUCAUAAAGGCAGUGUGGACCCAAAGACUCAGCAGCAGCAAGAUUUAUUGCAAAGAGCGAAAGAACAAAGAUUCCACAUUGUGGAAGGGGACCACAGUGGGUUGCCACUUCCAGCUUCGGCAUUCUGCUUUUAUUCCCUUAUCUGGCCUCACCCACAACCUGCUGAUUGGUUAAUUUUACAGAGAGCUGAUUGGUCCGUUUUGACAGGGUGCUGAUUGGUGUGUUUACGAUCCCUGAGCUAGACACAAAAGUUCUCCAGGUCCCCACUAGAUUAGCUAGACACAGAGUACUGAUUGGUGCAUUCACAAACCCUGAGCUAGACACAGGGUGCUGAUUGGUGCAUUUACAAACCUUGAGCUAGACACAGAGCGCUGAUUGGUGCAUUCACAACCCCUUAGCUAGACAUAAAGGUUCUCCAAGUCCCCACUAGACUCAGGAGCCCAGCUGGCUUCACCCAGUGGAUCCCGCACCGGGGAGCUGGUGGAGCUGUGGGUCAGUCCCGUGAGGUGCGCUGGCACUCCUCAGCCCUUGGGUGGUCGAUGGGACUGGGUGCCGUGGAGCAGGGGGCGACGCUUGUCCGGGAGGCUUGGUUGGUGCAGGAGCCCACGGCGUGGGGGAGGCUCAGGCAUGGCGGGCUGCGGGUCCCGAGCCCUGCCCCGCGGGGAGGCAUCUGAGGCCAGGUGAGAAUUUGAGCGCCUGCCGGCACUGCUGGGGGACCCGGCGCACCCUCCGCAGCUGCCGGCCCGGGUGCUAAGCCUUACUUCACUGCCCCGGGCGGGCGGCUCCGCCGGCUGCUCUGAGUGCUGGGCCGCGGAGCCCACGCCCACCCGGAACUCGCGCUGGCCCGGAAGCGCCGCGCGCAGCCUCGGUUCCCGCCCGUGCCUCUCCCUCCACACCUCCCCGCAACUGAGGGAGCCGGCUCCGGCCUCGGCCAGCCCAGAAAGGGGCUCACACAGUGCAGGGCCGGGCUGAAGGGCUCCUUAAGGGCGGCCAGAGUUGGCGCCAAGGCUGAGGAGGUGCCCAGAGCGAGCGAGGGCUGCCAGGGCUGCUAGCAGGCUGUCACCUCUCAAUAGCAGUUUUGUAUAUGGGAUCUAGCCCCUCCCUAAGAGGUUGAUUCUAAGGAAGCCAACAGCCGUGUUGUGAGUACCCAAUGGAAAGUCUGUUGUGGCAGAAAACUGAUGUCUCCAGCCAACAGCACUGAGGCCCUGAGACCUGCCAACUGUCAUGUUACAUCUCAAGGAGAAGGAUUGCCAGAUCAAAAGUCUUGCAGUUAACCAGGCGUGGUGGCAGAUACCUGUAAUCCCAGCUAUUCGGGAGGCUGAGGCAGGAGAAUCGCUUGUACCCGGGAGGCAGAGGUUGCAGUGAGCUGAGACCGCGCCAUUGACUCCUGCCUGAUGACAAGAGAGAAUCUACGUCUCAACAACAACAACACGCUUGGGCACUGUAUUAACUCCAUAAUCGGGUUGACUUAUAGAACUGCAUCACCCAUACCUCCCUGUCUUCUGGCUUCGGAUCAGAUUCACCCAAUAGGACUCUAGCAAAUUAUCAGAAGACAAGAGG